ACCCCUGUGACAUACCACUUGUUGCCUCGGCGGAUCAGCCCGCUCCCGGUAAAACGGGACGGCCCGCCAGAGGACCCCUAAACUCUGUUUCUAUAUGUAACUUCUGAGUAAAACCAUAAAUAAAUCAAAACUUUCAACAACGGAUCUCUUGGUUCUGGCAUCGAUGAAGAACGCAGCAAAAUGCGAUAAGUAAUGUGAAUUGCAGAAUUCAGUGAAUCAUCGAAUCUUUGAACGCACAUUGCGCCCGCCAGUAUUCUGGCGGGCAUGCCUGUUCGAGCGUCAUUUCAACCCUCAAGCACAGCUUGGUGUUGGGACUCGCGUUAAUUCGCGUUCCUCAAAUUGAUUGGCGGUCACGUCGAGCUUCCAUAGCGUAGUAGUAAAACCCUCGUUACUGGUAAUCGUCGCGGCCACGCCGUUAAACCCCAACUUCUGAAUGUUGACCUCGGAUCAGGUAGGAAUACCCGCUGAACUUAAGCAUAUCA
This 482-nucleotide ribosomal RNA is filed under the name Fusarium oxysporum f. sp. lycopersici. Its description in RNAcentral is "eukaryotic LSU rRNA". The stretch from base 129 to 282 matches the Rfam family "5.8S ribosomal RNA". Lineage: Eukaryota; Fungi; Ascomycota; Sordariomycetes; Hypocreales; Nectriaceae. The record is from RNAcentral.